Molecule: non-coding RNA, 392 nt
Organism: Phoenix dactylifera (date palm)
Lineage: Eukaryota; Viridiplantae; Streptophyta; Magnoliopsida; Arecales; Arecaceae
Source: RefSeq, a predicted model, not a curated record
GAAUGUGAGAGCCCAGUUCAUUAACCGGCCCGCAUACAGCUAGACCAGUGGGCCAGGCCUAUUGGCCGUUGCGGCCUCUAACUCUUCGGGGGCUAUAAAAGCUUCGAACGUCCUUCCUCAGCGAUAGGGUUUUCUGAACCCACGUUGAUGCCGCCGGAGAGGGGCGUCGCAGUUCAUCCCCGAAGCCAGGUACAGUGGAGUUGCCCAACUGUACUUAGGGAUUCGUGAGCGAAUCAAUAUGAAUAAGACUACUAGGAGCAGGGAGCUUGGUGUUAUUCAGGGUUGGGGUAACUGAAAAUGUUAUAUAAUAAUCAAAUUUUAGAAGCUCUGUACUGUUCCAACUUCAUGAAUAAUGUUAUAACAUUAGUAGAUGAAACUAUUUAUUUUUGGUU